This 484-nucleotide ribosomal RNA is filed under the name uncultured bacterium. RNAcentral describes it as "partial 16S ribosomal RNA". It matches the Rfam family "Bacterial small subunit ribosomal RNA", at positions 30 to 507 of the family's 1533-position model. The record is from RNAcentral.
AUUGAACGCUGGCGGCAGGCCUAACACAUGCAAGUCGAGCGGAUGAAGGGAGCUUGCUCCUGGAUUCAGCGGCGGACGGGUGAGUAAUGCCUAGGAAUCUGCCUGGUAGUGGGGGAUAACGUCCGGAAACGGGCGCUAAUACCGCAUACGUCCUGAGGGUGAAAGUGGGGGAUCUUCGGACCUCACGCUAUCAGAUGAGCCUAGGUCGGAUUAGCUAGUUGGUGGGGUAAAGGCCUACCAAGGCGACGAUCCGUAACUAGUCUGAGAGGAUGAUCAGUCACACUGGAACUGAGACACGGUCCAGACUCCUACGGGAGGCAGCAGUGGGGAAUAUUGGACAAUGGGCGAAGGCCUGAUCCAGCCAUGCCGCGUGUGUGAAGAAGGUCUUCGGAUUGUAAAGCACUUUUAGUUGGGAGGAAGGGCAGUAAGUUAAUACCUUGCUGUUUUGACGUUACCAACAGAAUAAGCACCGGCUAACUUCGUG